Molecule: long non-coding RNA, 599 nt
Organism: Motacilla alba alba
Lineage: Eukaryota; Metazoa; Chordata; Aves; Passeriformes; Motacillidae
Exons: 3
Source: RefSeq, a predicted model, not a curated record
UUUGGGAGGUAACAGCUGGAAGAACAAGGAGACCCUCACAGUGGAGGUCACAACAGGUAGAAAUGUAAUGUUCAUUUUAAUAAGAAAUACCUGAAAAUGGAAAGAAACAUUUUGCUGUUUAGUGCAUCACAAAUAUCAAACUGCACCCAGGAAAGGAGGGAGCUGAUUUAACAACAUCUGGUCUAGAUAACUUUGAAAUGCUCUAUCCAGCCUCAGAGUCAAAACAGGAAUGAAUGGAAAACACAUUGAAAAGAGGAUUAUGUCCAUAUGGAGGAGGAUUGACGUCCAUUUCCAGACUGGCAAGAUUGAGUUAUGCCAGUUUUGCCCUCGGUUAUCCACCUAAGAUGCCUGUGCAGAUUCAACAGGAUGUUGACCUGGAUCUCUCAGAACAGCUCAUGGAGAGGAAAGACCCUCUGACACAAAACCGCGUCACUGCAGAGGGAACUGUAAUGUCAGGGAGGGCAUCUGGAAGAUCAAAGUGGGAAUAAACCAAUCACUCCAAGCUGUAUGGCUUUGCAUGGCUGAGUUUUAUUUCCUUUUGAAGCACAGCUCAUGAGCUUUAACAAGGAAAGAACUUUUGUGUAAAAUUCAGUAAAUCG